RNAcentral lists this ribosomal RNA (474 nucleotides) under uncultured organism. RNAcentral describes it as "partial 16S ribosomal RNA". It matches the Rfam family "Bacterial small subunit ribosomal RNA", at positions 333 to 798 of the family's 1533-position model. The record is from RNAcentral.
ACACUCCUGCGGGAGGCAGCGGUGGGGAAUUUUGGACAAUGGGCGAAAGCCUGAUCCAGCAAUGCCGCGUGUGUGAAGAAGGCCUUCGGGUUGUAAAGCACUUUUGUCCGGAAAGAAAUCCUUGGCUCUAAUACAGUCGGGGGAUGACGGUACCGGAAGAAUAAGCACCGGCUAACUACGUGCCAGCAGCCGCGGUAAUACGUAGGGUGCGAGCGUUAAUCGGAAUUACUGGGCGUAAAGCGUGCGCAGGCGGUUUGCUAAGACCGAUGUGAAAUCCCCGGGCUCAACCUGGGAACUGCAUUGGUGACUGGCAGGCUAGAGUAUGGCAGAGGGGGGUAGAAUUCCACGUGUAGCAGUGAAAUGCGUAGAGAUGUGGAGGAAUACCGAUGGCGAAGGCAGCCCCCUGGGCCAAUACUGACGCUCAUGCACGAAAGCGUGGGGAGCAAACAGGAUUAGAAACCCCGGUAGUCCCAU